GCGGCGUGAUGGGCAGGAUGCCCUUCGCUCCGACCACUGGCUGCAUCAAGACGGAGCUCGGACCUUGGAUGGAGGGCUACGCGGGCGCCUACGGAGACAUGAGGCUGAAAUCUGGA
This is a non-coding RNA of Python bivittatus (Burmese python), 116 nucleotides long. The record is from RefSeq and is a predicted model, not a curated record. NCBI's taxonomy places the organism in Eukaryota, Metazoa, Chordata, Lepidosauria, Squamata, Pythonidae.